This 710-nucleotide ribosomal RNA is filed under the name Bacillus sp. 17856. Its description in RNAcentral is "bacterial SSU rRNA". It matches the Rfam family "Bacterial small subunit ribosomal RNA", at positions 56 to 750 of the family's 1533-position model. The record is from RNAcentral. Lineage: Bacteria; Bacillati; Bacillota; Bacilli; Caryophanales; Bacillaceae.
UGCAGUCGAGCGAAUCGAUGGGAGCUUGCUCCCUGAGAUUAGCGGCGGACGGGUGAGUAACACGUGGGCAACCUGCCUAUAAGACUGGGAUAACUUCGGGAAACCGGAGCUAAUACCGGAUACGUUCUUUUCUCGCAUGAGAGAAGAUGGAAAGACGGUUUACGCUGUCACUUAUAGAUGGGCCCGCGGCGCAUUAGCUAGUUGGUGAGGUAAUGGCUCACCAAGGCGACGAUGCGUAGCCGACCUGAGAGGGUGAUCGGCCACACUGGGACUGAGACACGGCCCAGACUCCUACGGGAGGCAGCAGUAGGGAAUCUUCCGCAAUGGACGAAAGUCUGACGGAGCAACGCCGCGUGAACGAAGAAGGCCUUCGGGUCGUAAAGUUCUGUUGUUAGGGAAGAACAAGUACCAGAGUAACUGCUGGUACCUUGACGGUACCUAACCAGAAAGCCACGGCUAACUACGUGCCAGCAGCCGCGGUAAUACGUAGGUGGCAAGCGUUGUCCGGAAUUAUUGGGCGUAAAGCGCGCGCAGGUGGUUCCUUAAGUCUGAUGUGAAAGCCCACGGCUCAACCGUGGAGGGUCAUUGGAAACUGGGGAACUUGAGUGCAGAAGAGGAAAGUGGAAUUCCAAGUGUAGCGGUGAAAUGCGUAGAGAUUUGGAGGAACACCAGUGGCGAAGGCGACUUUCUGGUCUGUAACUGACACUGAG